GCUGCCCUUACAUCCAUGGUGAUCCUCUUGCUUUAUGCUUGGCUUCAAAGCAGAUAUUUUGGAGAGACAGACGCAUACUCUAUAGAUUAGACUGGCCUAAAACUCACUAUGUAGCCCAACCUGAUCUUGAAAGUGAUCACAGUGAUCCUUCUGCCUCAGCAUUUCAACUGCAGAUGACAGAUGUGAGCCACUGAAUACAAUAUUUUCAAACCCAUCUUUAAGAGGAGGGAACUGAGGCUUUGAGAGAUACUUGACACAGAUUUCUCAAUUCUUCCAAGUUCAACUCAAAGUCAGCUAGCUGGUUGAUUCAAUGCCCAAGGCUAUAUGGCUCCCCACAUUGUACAUCGUGGCCUGAAAAGAAAACUUUUGGUUGUAAUCUAUAGCCUGUUGCCCAGAAAUGAAGUUCUUUUCUUUCCUAUUAUGCAUAUAAUGGGAGACACCAAGCCUGUCAACUUACUUGAGUCAUUUCCCAUACACAGAUGUCAGCUUCUAUGUGACCAGAAUCAGGAAGAAAACAUCAAGUAUUUUUGUCUGUGGAUACUCUGCUUUCUUGAUUAUAGUUCUUUUUCAAGACUGAAUAGGUUUGGCCAGCAUAGAAACCCCCUUGGAUACACUACUAAAGUGGCCAGCUGACAGUGCUAGGAGACAUGGGGAAACAAACAAUUCAUAUACUUUUAGGCCCAGACAAUUUGAGCUACGAGUGUUUUCUCAAUAAAUUCCAAUAGUUAUUUAGAGACCCCUAUCUUUUAGCUCUUCAGAACAAUCUGAUAAAGGACAGAGAGCUGCACCCCAAGAUGCUACCCCCUGAGACAGAGUCCUAACCUAUGUAUCCUAACCUGGCCUUGAACUUGUUAUAUAGCCAAGGAUAGUCUUGAACUUGUGAUCCUCCUAGCUUGAGCAGAAAUUACAGGUGUGCACUACCACAUCCUAGUUAUACAGUUGGUGGUGGCGCCCAAACUCAGAGCUUCAUGCAUGCUAGACUAGCACUUGACCUGAUGAACCACAUUCUAAGCCCACCACAUUGCUUUAUUUGGCCACCAAACAAUUGAGAGAGGAAAGGUUGGGCCAUAUACAAACUACUCUCAUUUGUCUGUGCUGCUCUUCAUCUCACUUUGCCUCCACAGUCUAUGACAGAUAAGGCUCCCUGGCCCUUCUCUCCUUGUCCCUUGACCUCUGCUCCAAGUGACUGCUCUCUUACUAAUCUUAUCCCUAGGCUAACAAAGAUAGGUCAGGCAAUGCUAAUGGCUCUACUACAGUCCUGUCCCCAGGACUAUGACUGCAAUCUAUUUCGCACAUUGCAUGAUCUCUUUACGUCAAAAAAGAGUUCCAGCCCCCUUCCAAGUCACCCCAGUAUGGUAAGAGACAGGCUCUAGCUAAGUUAUCUUUGGUUUUGUGGCAAAAGGAAAAGAGUAAGGUAAUGCUCACCAAUCUCUCCAAACUUCUGAUAUGAGAGGCAUGUAUGACAGGCUGCUAACAGGCUCAUGGCAGACACAUGGCCAAGCCUAACUGCAAAUGAGACAGAGGUGCAAACUCCUCCCCAGGGAACAAUUUUAGAACCUGGUAUAUCUGAAAUCAGAAAAUAACAAUUUUUUUUGCUUAAAAUAAGAUGUACCUUAUGGAUGAAGGUGUGACUCAGCCACGGGAGGCUUGUACAGUUAUGCAUGAGACCCUAGGCUCAGUACCCAAUAUAAAUACUUUGCAAUUGUGUUAAUGGCAUACAAACGCAUCCUCCUUUUAAGUAAAAGUUUAAAAUAUUAGAAAUAGGGCUAAUCCUUAUUUUAAAAAGUAAGAUUUCCCUUUUUUAUUUUAAGUGUGUGAAUGUUUGCCUGCACAAUGUAUGUGCACCACAUGUGCAAUGUCUAGGGGAGGGCACAGAAGAUAACAUCAGAUUCCCUGGAAUUGGAUGUCUUAGUCAGCUGUGAACAGCCCAGCAUUAGUGUUGGGAACAGAUUCUGUUUCCUUUGCCAGAGCAAGCAGUGCUCUUAACUGCUGAGGCAUGUCUCCUACCUCAACAUUUCUUUAUUAACCUCCUUCUGUAUCUAUUCUUUUAACUAUGUGUAGCCACUGUUCCUGCUUUAUUUUAUUUUAUUUUAUUUUAUUUUAUUUUAUUUUAUUUUGAAACAAUUGUCUCACUAUGUAGCUCUGGCUGUCCUGGAACUCACAGAAAUCUGUCCACCUCUGCCUCCUGAGUCAUGAGAUUAAAGUUGUGUAUAACUGCGCCUGGUUCCUGCUUUGAUUUAUUUUAUUUUAUUUAUGUAUUUAUUUAUGUAUGUAUUUAUUUAUUUUUGGUUUUGUUGGGUUUUUGUGAUAAGGUUUCUCUGUGUAGCUAUACUGAAACUCUAUAGAUCAGGGUGGCCUCAAACUCAGAGAUCUGCCUUUGUCUGCCUCACAAAUGUUGGAAUUAAAGGCAUGUACAACCACC
This 2422-nucleotide long non-coding RNA is filed under the name Mus musculus (house mouse). RNAcentral's name for it is "predicted gene 9944". The record is from RNAcentral. Lineage: Eukaryota; Metazoa; Chordata; Mammalia; Rodentia; Muridae.